RNAcentral lists this ribosomal RNA (497 nucleotides) under uncultured bacterium. RNAcentral describes it as "partial 16S ribosomal RNA". It matches the Rfam family "Bacterial small subunit ribosomal RNA", at positions 28 to 507 of the family's 1533-position model. The record is from RNAcentral.
GAUGAACGCUGGCGGCGUGCCUAAUACAUGCAAGUCGAGCGAACGGACGCGAAGCUUGCUUCUCUGUUGUUAGCGGCGGACGGGUGAGUAACAUGUGGAUAACCUACCUAUAAGUCUGGGAUAACUUCGGGAAACCGGAGCUUAUACCGGAUAAUAUUUUGAACCGCAUGGUUCAAAAGUGAAAGACGGUCUUGCUGUCACUUAUAGAUGGAUCCGCGCUGCAUUAGCUAGUUGGUAAUGUAACGGCUUACCAAGGCAACGAUGCAUAGCCGACCUGAGAGGGUGAUCGGCCACGCUGGAACUGAGACACGGUCCAGACUCCUACGGGAGGCAGCAGUAGGGAAUCUUCCGCAAUGGGCGAAAGCCUGACGGAGCAACGCCGCGUGAGUGAUGAAGGUCUUCGGAUCGUAAAACUCUGUUAUUAGGGAAGAACAUAUGUGUAAGUAACUGUGCACAUCUUGGCGGUACCUAAUCAGAAAGCCACGGCUAACUACGUG